GUGGAUUUAAAAUAAAUGUAAAAAAUAUUAGUUUGUGAGUGUUAGUGGAAAUGUCUGUGUGUGUGUCUGUGAGUGUUUAUUUUGAAGUGAAUGUGUGUGUGUGUGUCUGUAAGUGUGUAAUUGUGUGUGUCUGUAAGUGAAUGUGUGUGUGUCUGUGAGUGAAUGUGUGUGUUGGUCAGUGAGUGUAUAUGUGUCAGUCAGUGAGUGUAUAUGUGUCAGUCAGUGAGUGUGUAUGUGUCAGUCAGUGAGUGUGUAUGUGUCAGUCAGUGAGUGUGUAUGUGUCGUCAGUGAGUGUGUAUGUGUCGUCAGUGAGUGUGUGUCGGUCAGUGAGUGUGUAGGUCAGUGAGUGUGUAUGUGUCGGUCAGUGAGUGUGUGUCGGUCGGUCAGUGAGUGUGUAUGUGUCGGUCAGUGAGUCGGUCAGUGAGUGUGUGUCGGUCAGUGAGUGUGUGUCGGUCAGUGAGUGUGUGUCAGUCAGUGUGUAUGUGUCGGUCAGUGGAGUCGUGCAUCUUUCAGUGAGUGCUUGCAUCUGUCAGUGAGAGUGUGCAUCUGUCAGUGUGUGUCCAAGUAAUAGUGUAUGUGUGUAUGUCAUUGUUUGUCAGUGUAUAUGAGUGUGUGUGUCUGUCAGUGAGUGUGUGUCUGUCAGUGAGUGUGCGUCUGUCAGUGAGUGAGCGUCUG
This is a non-coding RNA of Pelobates cultripes (western spadefoot toad), 675 nucleotides long. The record is from the annotation of a GenBank genome assembly. NCBI's taxonomy places the organism in Eukaryota, Metazoa, Chordata, Amphibia, Anura, Pelobatidae.